Long non-coding RNA from Eupeodes corollae, 432 nucleotides. RefSeq lists it as uncharacterized. The transcript has 3 exons. NCBI's taxonomy places the organism in Eukaryota, Metazoa, Arthropoda, Insecta, Diptera, Syrphidae. The record is from RefSeq and is a predicted model, not a curated record.
AGAAGGAACUUGUUGCGACGAUAUAGUACCUCCUAAAUGAUGGGAGUCGGAAAUCAUUGAAUUCCUUAAGUCAACUUCGAUUCGAGAUUUCCUUAUAUAAUGAAAAUUAAUUUCUUUGUAUAGAAGGCUUAUGAUGGCAAGACUACUACGAACAACAAAUCGAAGCGGUAUUGCAACAAAUCCUGAAGUGAAGAUGAUUAUAGUCGACGACAUGCUUUAAAUCUCAUCCUUAAUAAUCAAGGUUCGCGGCGCAGCUAGUUUUUAAAUACAUUUGUAAUUAUUUUUCAAAAUUGUAUGUAAUUUAGUAUAAUUUAAUUUUGUUUUAAAUUCAACGCUAAUAAUGUAUUUUCACUUAAAAAACAAUAUCUGUAUGUUAAAAUGUAACUUCUUGUUUUUGAAUAAAUAAAAAAGAUAUUAAAUGUACUUUUUUCA